AGCCUUUUUUAAUAUUGGAAUAAGACUUGAACACCAACGUUCGUUUUCGAAUCAGCAUUUCGUCAACAUCAUACAUCUCGGAAAACAUGGCUUGAAAGAUUGUAGAACUCCUAGAGAUUUUGUGGAGAAACAUGGUAUCUUUGAGAAGUCCACGACUGAGACAAUUGAUCGUUUCUUAAUUAUUGAUCACAAUGUUGAUGAUGUGGAUCUUGCGAGAUUAGUGACGAGGCAU
Molecule: unclassified non-coding RNA, 232 nt
Filed under: Arabidopsis thaliana (thale cress)
Lineage: Eukaryota; Viridiplantae; Streptophyta; Magnoliopsida; Brassicales; Brassicaceae
Source: RNAcentral